AUAGCUGAACCUUUCGCCAACACAUUUGAGACAACAUCUUGGGCUUUACUGAUAUAUACUUUCCCGUUCACCCUUCCAUUGCUAGGAGAAGUAGGUUUGGCCUCAGCAAGCGGAGAAGAACUUUCUCCAGCAACAUUCACAGCAUUAUCAACUAUCCUGACUUCCCGAGUCUCAGAUGAUGGAACAUAGUCUUCUGCCUGCUUUAUACUUACAAUCUGAUCCACUAUGGUUGCUCCCGACAACAACAAAGCAAUUUCAAGCGCUUUCGGAUCUUUAAAUGUAACAAAGGCAGUCUUGGAUUGUCCUUGUUCUCGGCGAAUCUCAAUGUGGUCAAUCUCGCCGGAAAACGAGAAGAACUCGCGAACCUCUCUCUCAGCUGCCAGAUCUGAUACAUUACCCACUCGUACUGUUCUUACCUCCUGCAUUAUUGAGUUUGAAAUCCGUAUCUCUCAGCUUUGUUUUGCUGUGAGCCUGAGUGGAAGAGGAGAA
Molecule: unclassified non-coding RNA, 489 nt
Filed under: Hevea brasiliensis (rubber tree)
Lineage: Eukaryota; Viridiplantae; Streptophyta; Magnoliopsida; Malpighiales; Euphorbiaceae
Source: RNAcentral